Molecule: long non-coding RNA, 981 nt
Organism: Calidris pugnax (ruff)
Lineage: Eukaryota; Metazoa; Chordata; Aves; Charadriiformes; Scolopacidae
Exons: 4
Source: RefSeq, a predicted model, not a curated record
CUCAGCUUUACUGGCUGCCCGUUCCUGCAUCCACGGUGCCGAGGUCUCUUUCACCCCAAGCUCCUCCUACCUGCCAAAUUUCCCAGCUCCUCUCCAAGGCACUUGGAGCUCAUGUGGAUUAUACGGAGCGAGGCUGCAUGCCCAUAACACCCUGUAUACGGCGUCAUCAGUCACCUGCAGCAGAGGCAGCCACCUCUGGGAGGGAACGUGGCAGAUGGCCAGAAAGCCAGAGCAGCAUCGCCGAGGUGGGGACAUGAGGAAUGCCUGCAAGGAUGGACAUCCCUGCCCUGGCCCCAGGGGGAGUUGAAGGAGGCAGGAUGGAAUUAUACAUCUUGGAAACUGGAAGUUUUCUACCAUCAGCUGCAUCCUGAGGUUUUAAGAGAUAAAGCCCAGCAGGUGGGAAGGAAGAGAUUGAACAGGGCAGUUUUUCAUUCUUCCAUAAGCAAAUUCUUGGCCGCAAUCUCUCCGGCUCCUGGUGCGGUGGCCCUAACGAAACUAGACAGCACAGCCCGAAAUCCUUCCUGCAUAAUUGUGUGCUUCACUGGACUGACACUGGGAAUGAAUUUAGCUCACCCGAGGCUCAGCUGGAAAUGGGGUGGCUUUUGAGGAGCUUACGCUCUGUCCUGGUGUAUCACCUGUCAUUGAUUGAUCACCUUUUCUGCAGACUCUGACAAGAGAUUAUCCCAGCGAAGGCUAAGAGGCCACGGAAAACAAGGAACAAGUUCUGUUUAGAGCUUCUGGUCCCCGUCUGCACCACUGCCAUCAGAAACCAGGGAGCAUUUGUCUGGUCCUCCCUUGGAUUGCAACAUAUUUCUGUUUUCUUACCAUAUAGACUCAUCCCAGUUUGUUUCUAAGCGAAUUGCUUUUUUGUUCAUGUUGCAUAUUCCCUAAACAGUCGUAUUAGUGGUGACAGCAUGUCAUCUUGAUGGUGUUAUGACAGUAUGACGCCAAACUAGUAUUAACAUAACAUUUCUUUUUAAA